This 407-nucleotide ribosomal RNA is filed under the name uncultured bacterium. RNAcentral's name for it is "partial 16S ribosomal RNA". It matches the Rfam family "Bacterial small subunit ribosomal RNA", at positions 28 to 526 of the family's 1533-position model. The record is from RNAcentral.
GACGAACGCUGGCGGCGUGCCUAAUACAUGCAAGUAGAACGCAGUUGCGAACGGGUGAGUAACGCGUAUGUAACUGCCUCAUCGCGGGGGAUAACUAUUGGAAAAGAUAGCUAAUACCGCAUAAUGUGAGAUGGACCUGGGUUGUAUUAGCUAGUUGGUGAGGUAAAGGCUCACCAAGGCGACGAUACAUAGCCGACCGGAGAGGGUGAUGGGCCACACUGGGACUGGGACACGGCCCAGACCCCUACGGGAGGCGGCAUUAGGGAAGCUCCGGCAAGGGAGGGAGUUCUGACCGAGCAACGCCGCGUGAGUGAAGAAGGUUUUCGGAUCUUAAGACUCUGUUGUUAGGGAAGCGGUAUCUAACCAGAAAGCCACGGCUAACUACGUGCCAGCAGCCGCGGUAAUAC